Molecule: ribosomal RNA, 301 nt
Filed under: uncultured bacterium
Lineage: Bacteria
Description: partial 16S ribosomal RNA
Rfam family: Bacterial small subunit ribosomal RNA
Source: RNAcentral
CAGUAGCCGCGGGAAUACAGAGGGUGCGAGCGUUAAUCGGAAUUACUGGGCGUAAAGCGUGCGCAGGCGGUUAUAUAAGACAGAUGUGAAAUCCCCGGGCUCAACCUGGGAACUGCAUUUGUGACUGUAUAGCUAGAGUACGGCAGAGGGGGAUGGAAUUCCGCGUGUAGCAGUGAAAUGCGUAGAUAUGCGGAGGAACACCGAUGGCGAAGGCAAUCCCCUGGGCCUGUACUGACGCUCAUGCACGAAAGCGUGGGGAGCAAACAGGAUUAGAUACCCGCGUAGUCCCUGUCUCUUAUAC